Molecule: ribosomal RNA, 253 nt
Filed under: uncultured bacterium
Lineage: Bacteria
Description: partial 16S ribosomal RNA
Rfam family: Bacterial small subunit ribosomal RNA
Source: RNAcentral
UACGAAGGGGGCUAGCGUUGUUCGGAAUUACUGGGCGUAAAGGGCGCGUAGGCGGUCUUGUAAGUCAGGUGUGAAAGCCCCGGGCUCAACCCGGGAAUAGCAUUUGAUACUGCGAGGCUUGAGUCCGGGAGAGGAGAGCGGAAUUCCCAGUGUAGAGGUGAAAUUCGUAGAUAUUGGGAAGAACACCGGUGGCGAAGGCGGCCAACUGGCCCGGUACUGACGCUGAGGUGCGAAAGCGUGGGGAGCAAACAGG